AUGAUGAAGCUUGGCUUAUUGAAUAUCAGAUCCCUUUCUACGAAAACACUUUUUGUAAAUAAUAUGAUAACUGAUCAUAAUAUAUAUGUGCUCUGUUUGACAGAAAACUGGCUAAAACCUGAUGAUUACAUUAUUAUAAAUGAGCCCACCCUCCAAGAUUACUGUUAUAAACAUGAGUCGCGUCUAAAAGGCAAAGGUGGAGGUGUUGCUUCAAUUUAUAACAACAUAUUCAGGAUUUCUCAGAGGGCAGGCUUCAAGUAUAACUCAUUUGAAGUAAUGGUGCUUCAUAUAACAUUAUCCAGAGAAACCAAUGUUAAUGAUAAAUCCCCUGUUAUGUUUGUACUGGCUACUGUAUACAAGCCACCAGGGCACCAUACAGACUUUAUUAAAGAGUUUGGUGAUUUUACAUCCGAGUUAGUUCUGGCUGCAGAUAAAGUUUUAAUAGUUGGUGAUUUUAAUAUCCAUGUUGAUAAUGAAAAAGAUGCAUUGGGAUCAGCAUUUAUAGACAUUCUGAACUCUAUUGGUGUUAGGAUACACGUUUCAGGACCUACUCAUUGUCGAAAUCAUACUCUAGAUUUAAUACUGUCACAUGGAAUUGAUGUUGAUAGUGUUGAAAUUAUUCAGCCAAGUGAUGAUAUCUCAGAUCAUUAUUUAGUUCUGUGUAAACUUCAUAUAGCCGAAAUUGUAAAUUCUACUUCUUGUUACAAGUAUGGAAGAACCAUCACUUCUACCACAAAAGACUGCUUUUUAAGUUAUCUUCCUGAUGUAUCCAAAUUCCUUAGCAUAUCCAAAACCUCAGAACAACUUGAUGAUGUAACAGAAACUAUGGACUCUCUCUUUUCUAGCACUUUAAAUACAGUUGCUCCUCUAUGCUUAAGGAAGGUUAAGGAAAACAGUUUGACACCAUGGUAUAAUGAGCAUACUCGCACCCUAAAGAGAUCAGCCCGAAAAAAUGGAGCGCAGCUGGAGGAAAACAAAACUAGAGGUAUUUCGUAUUGCUUGGUGGGAAAGUAA
RNAcentral lists this long non-coding RNA (1014 nucleotides) under Carassius auratus (goldfish). RNAcentral's name for it is "lncRNA (ENSCARG00000014940.1)". Lineage: Eukaryota; Metazoa; Chordata; Actinopteri; Cypriniformes; Cyprinidae. The record is from RNAcentral.